CAUAUCUGACGGUGGUGGCCCACAUCAACUAUGUGAUCCGAUAGUUGCGGUUUGCUUUGGCAUUUGAUCUAAUGGUCAGCAAUAUUUUCGAGCAAAAGAAGACUUCUGGGAGCUGUUUUUGCACCAUCCAAUGGUUUGAAUUCAAUCUCAAUUUUGAUCCGACGGCUAGCAAUGAUUCUGACUGAGAUAAGGAUUGGUUGAGGCAUGAUCUGAGGCAUUGAAGGAUGAUCUGAUGGCCAGAAAAUACAAACACGCCUUGGACAUAUUUUGGAGAUGAUUUUGAGGGGUUUUGGGACUCUAGAAAUUACUAGGACUCAAGGAAAAGCAGCAUCUAUAAAAAGGGGGCCACGAUACAAGAGAAAAAUUAUAGAGAAAAUAUAGGAAAAAAAAAGAGAAAAUUGGUAGAAUAAAAUAGGAGAAAAAUAGAGAGAAAAUUGUAGAGAUCCAAAGGAAAAAAAGAAGAGGAAGCCCAGUUUGUUCCAUGGAGUUUGAAAG
Molecule: long non-coding RNA, 495 nt
Filed under: Elaeis guineensis (African oil palm)
Lineage: Eukaryota; Viridiplantae; Streptophyta; Magnoliopsida; Arecales; Arecaceae
Description: long non-coding RNA (EGUI_LNC057779)
Source: RNAcentral